Molecule: ribosomal RNA, 491 nt
Filed under: uncultured bacterium
Lineage: Bacteria
Description: partial 16S ribosomal RNA
Rfam family: Bacterial small subunit ribosomal RNA
Source: RNAcentral
GAUGAACGCUGGCUACAGGCUUAACACAUGCAAGUCGAGGGGAAACGACGGGGAAGCUUGCUUCCCCGGGCGUCGACCGGCGCACGGGUGAGUAACGCGUAUCCAACCUGCCUCUGACUGAGGGAUAACCCGUCGAAAGUCGGCCUAAUACCUCAUGGCAUCGUCUGCGGGCAUCCAACGACGAUUAAAGAUUUCAUCGGUCAGGGAUGGGGAUGCGUCUGAUUAGCUAGUUGGCGGGGUAACGGCCCACCAAGGCGACGAUCAGUAGGGGUUCUGAGAGGAAGGUCCCCCACAUUGGAGCUGAGACACGGUCCAAAAUCCUACGGGAGGCAGCAGUGAGGAAUAUUGGUCAAUGGGCGAGAGCCUGAACCAGCCAAGUAGCGUGCAGGAUGACGGCCCUAUGGGUUGUAAACUGCUUUUAUGCGGGGAUAAAGUGAGGGACGUGUCCUUCAUUGCAGGUACCGAAUGAAUAAGGACCGGCUAAUUCCGUG